This 107-nucleotide small nuclear RNA is filed under the name Suricata suricatta (meerkat). The record is from RNAcentral. Lineage: Eukaryota; Metazoa; Chordata; Mammalia; Carnivora; Herpestidae.
GUGCUCGCUUCGGCAGCACAUAUACUAAAAUUGGAACAAUACAGAGAAGACUAGCAUUGCCCCUGCACAAGGAUGACAUGCAAAUUCGUGAAGUGUUCCAUAUUUUU